This 468-nucleotide ribosomal RNA is filed under the name uncultured bacterium. Its description in RNAcentral is "partial 16S ribosomal RNA". It matches the Rfam family "Bacterial small subunit ribosomal RNA", at positions 28 to 507 of the family's 1533-position model. The record is from RNAcentral.
GACGAACGCUGGCGGCGUGCUUAACACAUGCAAGUCGAACGGAAAGGCCCUGCUUUUGUGGGGUGCUCGAGUGGCGAACGGGUGAGUAACACGUGAGUAACCUACCCUUGACUUUGGGAUAACUUCAGGAAACUGGGGCUAAUACCGGAUAGGAGCUCCUGCUGCAUGGUGGGGGUUGGAAAGUUUUGGCGGUUGGGGCUGGACUCGCGGCUUUUCAGCUUGUUGGUGGGGUAGUGGCUUACCAAGGCUUUGACGGGUCGCCGGCCUGGGAGGGUGACCGGCCACAUGGGGACUACGGUACGGCCCAGACUCCUACGGUGGGCAGCAGGGGGGAGUAUUGCACAAUGGGCGGAAGUCUGUUGCGACAGCGCCGCGUUCGGAAUGACGGCUUUCGGGGUGUAAACCGCUUUCGCCUGUGACGAAGCGUGAUUGACGGUAAUGGGUAAAGAAGCACCGGCUAACUACGUG